This 271-nucleotide long non-coding RNA is filed under the name Ananas comosus (pineapple). RNAcentral's name for it is "long non-coding RNA (ACOM_LNC039345)". Lineage: Eukaryota; Viridiplantae; Streptophyta; Magnoliopsida; Poales; Bromeliaceae. The record is from RNAcentral.
UCACGCCCGGAUACCAGCGGAAGCAUAUCCGGUCGCGUGCACAGACCCGCCGUAUACACCACAACUCAAGUAUACACAAGGCGUCUACAAACCAUAUAGUAAAAGCAUAUAAUUCUAACGAGGUAAUCAGAGCACGACUUUAAGCUUAAACUUAUACAAUCCAAACCUUAAUACAAGAAAUAAGAAUAACGUACAAUUAACAAAAACUUAAUAUACAUCUCUGCACUAAACUAUAUAAACUGCUGAAGGUGAUCUUGUACACGUCCAAAAA